This 24-nucleotide transfer RNA is filed under the name Tandanus tandanus (eel-tailed catfish). Its description in RNAcentral is "partial tRNA-Phe". The record is from RNAcentral. Lineage: Eukaryota; Metazoa; Chordata; Actinopteri; Siluriformes; Plotosidae.
GAACCCUAGAAAGUUUCACGAGCA